CCUACGGGAGGCAGCAGUGAGGAAUAUUGGUCAAUGGACGAGAGUCUGAACCAGCCAAGUAGCGUGAAGGAUGACUGCCCUAUGGGUUGUAAACUUCUUUUAUAUGGGAAUAAAAUGUUCCACGUGUGGGUUUUUGUAUGUACCAUAUGAAUAAGGAUCGGCUAACUCCGUGCCAGCAGCCGCGGUAAUACGGAGGAUCCGAGCGUUAUCCGGAUUUAUUGGGUUUAAAGGGAGCGUAGGUGGAUUGUUAAGUCAGUUGUGAAAGUUUGCGGCUCAACCAUAAAAUUGCAGUUGAAACUGGCAGUCUUGAGUACAGUAGAGGUGGGCGGAAUUCGUGGUGUAGCGGUGAAAUGCUUAGAUAUCACGAAGAACUCCGAUUGCGAAGGCAGCUCACUGGACUGCAACUGACACUGAGGCUCGAAAGUGUGGGUAUCAAACAGGAUUAGAUACCCGAGUAGUC
RNAcentral lists this ribosomal RNA (460 nucleotides) under uncultured bacterium. Its description in RNAcentral is "partial 16S ribosomal RNA". It matches the Rfam family "Bacterial small subunit ribosomal RNA", at positions 338 to 795 of the family's 1533-position model. The record is from RNAcentral.